Molecule: ribosomal RNA, 333 nt
Filed under: Ataxocerithium sp. Aust. Mus. C203217
Lineage: Eukaryota; Metazoa; Mollusca; Gastropoda; Cerithiopsidae
Description: eukaryotic LSU rRNA
Rfam family: Eukaryotic large subunit ribosomal RNA
Source: RNAcentral
UUAAGCAUAUCACUAAGCGGAGGAAAAGAAACUAACCAGGAUUCCCCUAGUAACGGCGAGUGAAGCGGGACAUGCCCAGCACCGAAUCCCCCAGCAUAUCGCUGGCGGGAACUGUGGUGUAUGGGACGUCAACUGUCGUCCGCACCGGUGGCCGAAGUCCUCCUGAUCGGGGCCUCUCCCAGAGCGGGUGUCAGGCCUUUACUGGCUGCUGGUCGGUCGGCUGCGAGCGUCUCCGGAGUCGGGUUGUUUGGGAAUGCAGCCCUAAGAGGGUGGUAAACUCCAUCUAAGGCUAAAUACUGGCACGAGUCCGAUAGCGGACAAGUACCGUGAGGG